UACGGAGGCCUCGAGCGUUAGGCGGAAUCACUGGGCUUAAAGCGUGUGUAGGCGGAUUGGUAAGUACCUUGUGAAAUCCCACAGCUUAACUGUGGAACUGCUCGGUAUACUGCUGAUCUUGAGCCACUCAGGGGCUACCGGAACAAAUGGUGGAGCGGUGAAAUGCGUAGAUAUCAUUUGGAACGCCAAUGGUGAAAACAGGUAGCUGGGGGUGUGCUGACGCUGAGACACGAAAGCCAGGGGAGCAAACGGG
This 253-nucleotide ribosomal RNA is filed under the name uncultured bacterium. RNAcentral's name for it is "partial 16S ribosomal RNA". It matches the Rfam family "Bacterial small subunit ribosomal RNA", at positions 524 to 776 of the family's 1533-position model. The record is from RNAcentral.